Molecule: ribosomal RNA, 599 nt
Filed under: Staphylococcus aureus
Lineage: Bacteria; Bacillati; Bacillota; Bacilli; Caryophanales; Staphylococcaceae
Description: bacterial SSU rRNA
Rfam family: Bacterial small subunit ribosomal RNA
Source: RNAcentral
UUUAUGGAGAGUUUGAUCCUGGCUCAGGAUGAACGCUGGCGGCGUGCCUAAUACAUGCAAGUCGAGCGAACGGACGAGAAGCUUGCUUCUCUGAUGUUAGCGGCGGACGGGUGAGUAACACGUGGAUAACCUACCUAUAAGACUGGGAUAACUUCGGGAAACCGGAGCUAAUACCGGAUAAUAUUUUGAACCGCAUGGUUCAAAAGUGAAAGACGGUCUUGCUGUCACUUAUAGAUGGAUCCGCGCUGCAUUAGCUAGUUGGUAAGGUAACGGCUUACCAAGGCAACGAUGCAUAGCCGACCUGAGAGGGUGAUCGGCCACACUGGAACUGAGACACGGUCCAGACUCCUACGGGAGGCAGCAGUAGGGAAUCUUCCGCAAUGGGCGAAAGCCUGACGGAGCAACGCCGCGUGAGUGAUGAAGGUCUUCGGAUCGUAAAACUCUGUUAUUAGGGAAGAACAUAUGUGUAAGUAACUGUGCACAUCUUGACGGUACCUAAUCAGAAAGCCACGGCUAACUACGUGCCAGCAGCCGCGGUAAUACGUAGGUGGCAAGCGUUAUCCGGAAUUAUUGGGCGUAAAGCGCGCGUAGGCGGUUUU